CGUCAGCUCGUGUCGUGAGAUGUUGGUUAAGUCCGCAACGAGCGCAACCCCUAUUGUUAGUUGCCAUCAUUCAGUUGGGCACUCUAGCGAGACUGCCGGUAAUAAACCGGAGGAGGGUGGGGAUGACGUCAAAUCAUCAUGCCCCUUAUGACCUGGGCUACACACGUGCUACAAUGGUUGGUACAACGAGUUGCGAGUCGGUGACGGCGAGCUAAUCUCUUAAAGCCAAUCUCAGUUCGGAUUGUAGGCUGCAACUCGCCUACAUGAAGUCGGAAUCGCUAGUAAUCGCGGAUCAGCACGCCGCGGUGAAUACGUUCCCGGGCCUU
RNAcentral lists this ribosomal RNA (326 nucleotides) under uncultured Streptococcus sp. Its description in RNAcentral is "bacterial SSU rRNA". It matches the Rfam family "Bacterial small subunit ribosomal RNA", at positions 1053 to 1382 of the family's 1533-position model. The record is from RNAcentral. Lineage: Bacteria; Bacillati; Bacillota; Bacilli; Lactobacillales; Streptococcaceae.